AUUAAUAUCUAUUUCUAGUACCUGUUCACUUAUUUCUGUUCUUAAUUGUAUAUGCACCUACAAUUUGGUUUUCAACAAGUCCCUAAAAAACCAAUAUGGCGUCGUUGUCAAAUCACCGGCCAAAUCCAUAAAGGACAAAGGAUACUGAAACAUGAGGACAAAGAAAAAUGCCAAGGAAACAUGUCAAUUACGAAUCGACGAGCGGAACAAAUGGUGCGCGCUCGUGUCUAUAGAAAUCACCUGAAUUAACCGUACAAUAAUGUACGAAGAGACCGGAGCAUCGAGUCCGGUCCCACGAAAAGGGGAACAACGUCGCGAUAUAUAUACGUGGGAAUACCUCUUCGGAAAGAGCUCAUCAUCGUCAGCAAUCAGCGAUUGCCGCGUGCAGCUGCACCAUCAUCGGAAAUAAACGAAAGUAAGUCGAAUAGGAAGAUCUCUCGGUUCGAUGGUGAGAGAAGAGGUGGGAGGCGCGUUGAGGACAGGCCCUAAAGAGCGCAGUACGCGCAGCUUCCGUGCGCAUCUUCCCUGUGUGAGUGAUAAUAGCGGUGAUGGAAACGACGUGGACGUUUACGACGGCAGCGACGGAGGUGCAACUGCUGUUUUGCAAUACGAGUGCGUCGUGAUAAUGGCAGGAGAAACGGUCUAGGGAGAGAGACACAAAGCGGGAAAGGAGAAAAAAACAAACAAUCGAGGGGGGAAAACAAAUCGAGAAAAAGAGAAGCUUGAACUGGAGGGCAGAAAAAGAAGAAACCGGGUACACAUGUGCAGCGGUAGCCGGAAAGAUAAAGGGAUAUGGAGAAGAUACACUAUAUAUGUACUCUCUCGUUUUCGCUGGAAUAUUAUUGGAAACGAGCAUCCAGGCUGGACAUUGAACUCGUGCGUGGUGUUUGUUUCGAACACAACGCGCGACGAGAGAAAAUGGAAGAAAAAAAUGGUCGCGAGUUGAGCGCUGAAGCCGUAUCCGAACGGAGGGACAACGACUUGAGCAGAAAGCAUGAAAAUCCGAUAUGCUAUAGCAGAAUUAAAUAUCUUCUGGCGUAAAAUCAAUGCAGGCGGUCGGUACUGAUUAAUUCGCGGGUCCACGGUUCCGCAGAUGGCGCGGUGAUCGUGGUACACCGGUGUGGCCCGAUGACGAUCGUUAAAAAACGCCCGCGCGCAUUCAAAAGCGCAUAAUAAUCGGGAAAAAGAGAGCGAUCCGACGCCAUGGAAUAUCGCGGAGAAGCGUGUAUCAAUUUCGAGAGAUGAAAAGUCGAGCAGAGGCGGAAGGUCGGUGGAGUACAAAUUACCGUGGGGCAGCUGCCCUCCGUUUGCGAUUCUCGUCGACUCGCGUGUAUAUAACACGAGACGAUGCGCGCAUGCGCGUUCUCUGUGUACGUUCGCUUGCACAUCGAGGGGAGCUAGGGUUAAAGAGGGAAAACAAACUGACGCGAAAGGGAAAAAUAAAUGCGCGGAGGUAAGACGAGUACAAGAGGAAAAAGGAAGAAAGGCGAGAAUCCUAAGCGAAAGAGAGAUUACCUAGCAAAGUAAUUUUCUUUAGAUGAGAAGAGCCCCCGAGAGAAAUAGACUCUUCGAUAAAGCUGCAGAAAACAGUCUAGGAAAAAUCGGACUAGAGAAAAACAUUGACCAAACAUUGUGGGACGAUGUGGAAAAUACGAAACCUGAAGAAAAAGGGCCAGAGUACUCUACAUAGGAGGAGGAGGAAACAGAUUGAAAGAGAAAAAGAUGAGAUGAGAAGGAACGAGAAUGUAAAAGAGAAGCCAGAGAGGGAAUCAGGGAGUGGUACAACAGCGAACCGUCAAGGAGGGGGGCAUGCGUGGGGUUAGAGAGGGAGAGGGAAAUAGAGGGAGCAUGAAAAACGAGAAAGAGCGAGAACAAGACAAAGUCGAGUGGAGCGGGGAGAGAAGGGGAGGAGAAGGAUAAACGGAGGGUGAAUGGGUGGGUGGAAGGGAGAAGAAACAUGCCAGAGGACGAUGAACUCUGGCGGUAGGCAGCUUCCGUCGCCUGGCAACGUUCUCCUCCCUUUUCCUCCUCCUCUCCCUGAGGCUCCAAGCCGUUAUGUCGUGGUAUCGUACGUAGGCAGUCCUCGUCAUGGACGUAGUAGUCGUGUCAUCGUCUUCGUCAGUGACGAUCAUGGUAGUCGUUGUUGUAUUUUCACGUAGUCGUGGCUCGCAGCUUGCGCUGCGUAUUGAUCGUACGGGAUGCUGCUGCUAGCUGCUGCUGGUUGCUGGCUGCUCCAGCACCGGCUAACAGUGAGCUUUAGCCACAGCCCUGCACCAAGGACCAAUAGGACCACCACUUUCUCUCUCUUUCUCUCUCUUGACUUUCUACUCAGCUUAUACCCACCCAUUAUGGUUGCCCAAAAAUGAAAGUAAAUGCAAUAAACUAUUGUUACUGUAUCUUUUUAGACGAUAGAAAAACUUCUGGUUGGUUAAUUUGAUAGGUGUGGUAGUUGGAUGAUUAUAGAAAAACAUAGGGAUGUGAUAAUGAAUGUUCUUUCAUACUGCUUCAUUUCUUGAAACUGUAGAAGAAUAAAAUAACGAUUUGUAUUUAGAAGAGAAAAUGUGUCCAAGUUGAAAUUUGGAAAUGUUACAGACAUUAAAAUACUACAAAAUACUAUAAUACUUAAAUGCAGAAGAUUCAUAUAGAGAUGAUAAUGAUAUAAAGAUCUAAAUAUAUACGUAAAAUGCAUGAGAAAAUUCUGGCCAUAAUUUUAUACAAUAUCGUUCACAUACUCAAAAUCCAUUAGCCAUGCAUCACAUGUGCUACAUGUGUGCAAAAUGUGAACAUCAAAUCAAUGACCCUACCGUGUCUUCUCCCCAUCAAACGUCGAACCUUCGUCUAAUUAUACCGCAAUAUAUCUCAAAAUAACCCAACUUCAUCAUCAGCUAACUACACCUAUCACUUGUACCAAUACUACGCUCUUUCUUUACCAUAUAUAAAAUAGGAAAGCGACAUGUUUCACAACAUAACCAUAUUUCUUCAACUAGACACGAGGCAUACAAAUGAGGCACAGAUACAUCUAACUCAUGACACGACAAUAAUACAUUGGCUUCUAAAAGGAUUAAAAGUAAUGUAUGGAACAUACAAAGGGGACAUAAAUACGUCCACAACAUUUCUAUUGUUCGCCAAUUGCAAGAGGAAAGCGCGCGUUCACCGACACCUACACGUCGUGCAGAAAUGUCGGACGGCUAUCAAUGGUUGGAACACGUCGUCUCGAUGAAAAUACCAGCGAGAGGUGAAUGGUUCGUGGCACGUGAAAAUAGUUUCACUACACAAGGCUAUGUCGUAAAGUCGGCCGCUACCGCGAAGAACCGAUCGAGCCGAAAAUGAAAGCAAACGCGAGCCGUGACUGCCAAGUCCAACGAACCUGCCACUUGGCAGCCGACGUCCGUGCUCAAGAGUGUCUUUAAUACACUGAACUCGCUAAACCUAAAUCCAUUUUAACCGCGGAGUGUCGGUGCCCGAUGUUGGCACAGAAAACUGUCACUGGCAUCCAUGAAAUUGCCGGUGAUCCGUUCGACACGGUUACCGAUGAGUCAGCCGAUUUUCUUGAAUGAAGUUUCUUUCUUACCCCGUGUUAGCGAGACUCGUUGAAUUAGGGGAUAGAUAGGACGAUUCUAAUCGGACGUGAAACACAUACACGAAAUUAUUAUUUGAUGUACAGGGAUGAGUCAUGUAUAUGACUCACGAGGGAAUAGAUGCACAGGGUGUAAUUCAUGCAUGAGCUCCGUUGCAACUAAGUUUACAAAGAGUCUCGCGGUAAUUUAUAGCCACGUAAUACGUGAAGAACUACUUUGAGAGAAUGACAGCGAAGGGAAGUUGUAAAGCAAAAUAUGUUAUUGAUAGUUUAUAGUUACAGGUCGUUAAAUGUGGCACGAGGUUUGUAGAAGGAAAGUGUCAAAACAUGAGGAGUGAAGAAGACAUUUUGUAUAGCUGAAUGUGUUCUACUUUUCUGUAACACGUUUUUUACACGCCUUUUUAAAAUUAGAUUAAUGGCUACAAUCUUAUUGUAAUUUUAUAUAAUGCACUUGUAAUCUUAUCCACCAGAAUCUUUUUUUUGCUAAUGAAACUGGCGACUAAUGAAACGUAAUAUAAUAUACAUCGUUAUAAGGA
Molecule: long non-coding RNA, 4113 nt
Organism: Bombus terrestris (buff-tailed bumblebee)
Lineage: Eukaryota; Metazoa; Arthropoda; Insecta; Hymenoptera; Apidae
Exons: 3
Source: RefSeq, a predicted model, not a curated record